UCUCUGGUGGUCCAGUGGUUAGGACUCUGUGCUUCUACUUCUGGAGGCCCAGGUUCAAUCCCUGGACACAAAA
Molecule: non-coding RNA, 73 nt
Organism: Bos taurus (domestic cattle)
Lineage: Eukaryota; Metazoa; Chordata; Mammalia; Artiodactyla; Bovidae
Source: Rfam